CCUACGGGGGGCAGCAGUGGGGAAUAUUGGACAAUGGGGGGAACCCUGAUCCAGCGACGCCGCGUGAGUGAAGAAGUAUUUCGGUAUGUAAAGCUCUAUCAGCAGGGAAGAAAGAAAUGACGGUACCUGACUAAGAAGCCCCGGCUAACUACGUGCCAGCAGCCGCGGUAAUACGGAGGGGGCAAGCGUUAUCCGGAUUUACUGGGUGUAAAGGGAGCGUAGACGGGGAUGCAAGUCUGAAGUGAAAGGCGGGGGCCCAACCUCCGGACUGCUUUGGAAACUGUAUGGCUGGAGUGCAGGAGAGGUAAGUGGAAUUCCUAGUGUAGCGGUGAAAUGCGUAGAUAUUAGGAGGAACACCAGUGGCGAAGGCGGCUUACUGGACUGUAACUGACGUUGAGGCUCGAAAGCGUGGGGAGCAAACAGGAUUAGAUACCCGAGUAGUC
This 443-nucleotide ribosomal RNA is filed under the name uncultured bacterium. RNAcentral's name for it is "partial 16S ribosomal RNA". It matches the Rfam family "Bacterial small subunit ribosomal RNA", at positions 338 to 795 of the family's 1533-position model. The record is from RNAcentral.